UGCCGCGUGAGUGAUGAAGGCCCUAGGGUUGUAAAGCUCUUUCAACGGUGAAGAUAAUGACGGUAACCGUAUAACAAACCCCGGCUAACUUCGUGCCAGCAGCCGCGGUAAUACAAAGGGGGCUAGCGUUGUUCGGAAUUACUGGGCGUAAAGCGCACGUAGGCGGAUUGUUAAGUUAGGGGUGAAAUCCCAGGGCUCAACCCUGGAACUGCCUUUAAUACUGGCAAUCUCGAGUCCAAGAGAGGUGAGUGGAAUUCCAAGUGUGGAGGUGAAAUUCAUAGAUCUUCUGAGGAACACCACUGGCAAAGGCGGCUCACUGGCUCGGUACUGACGCUAAGGUGCGAAAGCGUGGGGAGCAAACCGGAUUAGAUACCCUGGUAGUCCACGCCGUACACUAUGAGAGCUAGCCGUCGGCAAGUUUACUUGUCGGUGGCGCAGCUAACGCAUUAAGCUCUCCGCCUGGGGAGUACGGUCGCAAGAUUAAAACUCUAAGGAAUUGACGGGGGCCCGCACAAGCGGUGGAGCAUGUGAUUUAAUUCAAAGCAUCGCGCAGAACCUUACCAGCCCUUGACAUCCCGGUCGCGGUUUCCAGAGAUGGAUUCCUUCAGUUCGGCUGGA
This 618-nucleotide ribosomal RNA is filed under the name Aminobacter sp. Se1Ps_2172. Its description in RNAcentral is "bacterial SSU rRNA". It matches the Rfam family "Bacterial small subunit ribosomal RNA", at positions 395 to 1026 of the family's 1533-position model. Lineage: Bacteria; Pseudomonadati; Pseudomonadota; Alphaproteobacteria; Hyphomicrobiales; Phyllobacteriaceae. The record is from RNAcentral.